AUUGAACGCUGGCGGCAUGCCUUACACAUGCAAGUCGAACGGCAGCGGACCUUCGGGUGCCGGCGAGUGGCGAACGGGUGAGUAAUAUAUCGGAACGUACCUUUCAGUGGGGGAUAACGUAGCGAAAGUUACGUUAAUACCGCAUAUUCUGUGAGCAGGAAAGCAGGGGAUCGCAAGACCUUGCGCUGAUUGAGCGGCCGAUAUCAGAUUAGCUAGUUGGUGAGGUAAAGGCUCACCAAGGCGACGAUCUGUAGCGGGUCUGAGAGGAUGAUCCGCCACACUGGAACUGAGACACGGUCCAGACUCCUACGGGAGGCAGCAGUGGGGAAUUUUGGACAAUGGGCGCAAGCCUGAUCCAGCCAUGCCGCGUGAGUGAAGAAGGCCUCGGUUGUAAG
Molecule: ribosomal RNA, 395 nt
Filed under: uncultured bacterium
Lineage: Bacteria
Description: bacterial SSU rRNA
Rfam family: Bacterial small subunit ribosomal RNA
Source: RNAcentral